RNAcentral lists this ribosomal RNA (253 nucleotides) under uncultured bacterium. RNAcentral describes it as "partial 16S ribosomal RNA". It matches the Rfam family "Bacterial small subunit ribosomal RNA", at positions 524 to 776 of the family's 1533-position model. The record is from RNAcentral.
UACGAAAGGGGCUAGCGUUGUUCGGAUUUACUGGGCGUAAAGCGCGUGUAGGCGGGCCAGUAAGUUGGGGGUGAAAUCCCGGGGCUCAACUCCGGAACUGCCUCCAAUACUGGAAGUCUGGAGCAGGAGAGAGGCAAGUGGAAUUCCGAGUGUAGAGGUGAAAUUCGUAGAUAUUCGGAGGAACACCAGUGGCGAAGGCGGCUUGCUGGGCUCUUCCUGACGCUGAGGUGCGAGAGCGUGGGGAGCAAACAGG